Molecule: unclassified non-coding RNA, 1896 nt
Filed under: Leishmania donovani
Lineage: Eukaryota; Euglenozoa; Kinetoplastea; Trypanosomatida; Trypanosomatidae
Description: gene:LdHU3.28.1640(CDS-product:copine_i-like_prot ein)
Source: RNAcentral
GUACAGCAAAACCUCCAUCGCCGUGUGCUCUCCAUCCUGCCACAGUACGAUGAAAUCGAUCAGCACGACGGUACAGCUGUACAUCAAGUGCUCGCACUUGUUGGACAAGGAUACAACCUCAAAGUCCGAUCCGUACGUUACUGUGUUCGACACCACGGAUGGCGGCAAAGUCUGCGUGGGACGCACCGAAGUAAUCAAGAAUAAUCUCAAUCCUGAGUUCCAUACGUGCAUUUCUGUGACCUACUUCUUCGAAAUUCGCCAGAUCAUGCGCGUCGAGGUGUGGGACAGCGACAAGGACAAGCCCGAUGAUCUGCUAGGCGUUGCGGAGUUCGCGUUGGGGCGUCUGCUGUCAUCGCGUGGCUCUACACUGACGCUCAGCCUCGGCGGCAAGAGCACCGUGACGCUGACUGCGUCGUAUGUCGGGUCGCAGCGCGGCACCAUUGGCGUGACUUUCCGCGGCCGCAGCCUAAAGAAGAUGGACCUGUUCGGCAAGUCCGACCCGUACUUCGUUCUGAGCCGCCUUCUGCCCAGCGGCCAGCGGGUCACCGUCUACAAGAGCGAAGUGGUCAAGAACACGCUAAACCCGCAGUGGAGGCCGACGCGGACGAUCGACCUGGUGGAGCUGUGCGGUGGCGACUUUGUCUCCCCGUGCAUCCACUUCGAGUGCUUCGACCAAGACCCCGGUGAGGACGAGUCGAUAGGGAGUUUUGUGAUCACUGGUGUGGAGCUGCUGGCUGCGUCUGGGAAGGAAUUCGAGCUGGUGGUGGAGAGGAAGGGGAAGCGGAAGUCGCACGGGUUUAUCGCGGUGACCCGGUGCGACUACGUGAGGAGCUACGACUUUCUCGAGUACUUGCAAGCUGGCAUGGCGCUUAACAUCGCCUUCUCAAUCGACUUUACCGGCUCGAACGGACCGCCAAGCGACCCGCGCUCGCUGCACUUCUACAACCCGCACCACCCGAACAGCUACAUCCGAGCCAUGCUGGCUGUGAGCACGGUUGUGCAGGAGUACGACAGCGACCGAAUGUUUCCCGUGUACGGGUUCGGCGCGGUGGCGCCCUUCACGAACGGCACGAGCCACUUCUUCCCGCUGAGCGGCAACCCCUCGAACGCGUACCUGAAUGGCAUGCAGGCGGUCGUGGACACCUACGCCGGGCUACUGCCCACGCUCCAGUUCAGCGGGCCGACGAACUUUGCGCCGACGAUCCGGACGAUCACUGACGGAGCGCGGCGGAUGCGCGGCGUGUACACGAUCCUGCUGAUUCUGACGGACGGCACGAUCACCGAUAUGCACGAUACGAUCGACGCUAUUGUUGCCGCCGACGACGCGCCGCUGUCGAUUGUGAUCAUCGGCGUUGGCCGCGCCGACUUCAGCGCGAUGGUGCAGCUGGACGGAGAUGGUGGCGUUCUUCGAGAUCGCAGCAACCGACCAGCGCGUCGCGACUUGGUGCAGUUUGUGUCGUUCAGUGAGUUUGAGGGGAAGAACCCUGCAAUGCUUGCAGCCGCGGUGUUGCUGGAGAUUCCGAAGCAGGUGGAGAUGUGGGGGCGCAUCGUGCACGCUACCCCGGGUCACUUCUAAAACGUUCCGAGUGCAACUCCCUCUUUUCGUUUUCCGUGUAGCGCACUUCCCUUUUUUUUUUCGCAUAUUUGUGUUGCUUCUGUUCAGUGUCUCGAUAUUGUUUUCCUUGAGUCGCCUCCUUCUCUUAUCACUGCACCUGCUGGGUUUUCUCUCUCUGCGCGCGCGUGCCUGUACCUGCUGCGCGCGUGGCACCUCAGAUCUCUGUUCUCUCUACUUUUUUUUGUAGGUGCACUUGUGCAUUGGUGUGCCUGUGUGCCUGCGUGCGUGUUGCGUGCGUGCAUGUGCAUAUAUUGGGCUUGUCUUUGUUGCUCAUGCCAUCG